UACGUAGGUGACAAGCGUUGUCCGGAUUUACUGGGCGUAAAGAGCGCGCAGGCGGUCGUUCAAGUCGAGUGUGAAAGCCCCCGGCUCAACUGGGGAGGGUCAUUCGAUACUGAUCGACUCGAAGGCAGGAGAGGGAAGUGGAAUUCCCGGUGUAGUGGUGAAAUGCGUAGAUAUCAGGAAGAACACCCGUGGCGAAGGCGGCUCUCUGGGACGGUACUGACGCUGAGACGCGAAAGCGUGGGGAGCGAACAGG
RNAcentral lists this ribosomal RNA (253 nucleotides) under uncultured bacterium. Its description in RNAcentral is "partial 16S ribosomal RNA". It matches the Rfam family "Bacterial small subunit ribosomal RNA", at positions 524 to 776 of the family's 1533-position model. The record is from RNAcentral.